RNAcentral lists this ribosomal RNA (480 nucleotides) under uncultured Anaeromusa sp. RNAcentral's name for it is "partial 16S ribosomal RNA". It matches the Rfam family "Bacterial small subunit ribosomal RNA", at positions 86 to 544 of the family's 1533-position model. The record is from RNAcentral. Lineage: Bacteria; Bacillati; Bacillota; Negativicutes; Selenomonadales; Sporomusaceae.
UGGAUCUUAGUGGCGAACGGGUGAGUAACGCGUAGGCAAUCUGCCUUCUAGAUGGGGACAACAUCCCGAAAGGGGUGCUAAUACCGAAUGUUGUAGUUGGUUCGCAUGGACUAGCUACUAAAGGUGGCCUCUGAAUAUGCUACCGCUAGAAGAUGAGCCUGCGUCUGAUUAGCUAGUUGGAGGGGUAACGGCCCACCAAGGCUUCGAUCAGUAGCCGGUCUGAGAGGAUGAACGGCCACACUGGGACUGAGACACGGCCCAGACUCCUACGGGAGGCAGCAGUGGGGAAUCUUCCGCAAUGGACGAAAGUCUGACGGAGCAACGCCGCGUGAGUGAAGAAGGUUUUCGGAUCGUAAAGCUCUUUCGUUAGGGACGAACGUGCUCUUUGUGAAUAAUGAGGAGUAAUGACGGUACCUAAAUAAGAAGCCACGGCUAACUACGUGCCAGCAGCCGCGGUAAUACGUAGGUGGCAAGCGUUGU